Molecule: ribosomal RNA, 468 nt
Filed under: uncultured bacterium
Lineage: Bacteria
Description: partial 16S ribosomal RNA
Rfam family: Bacterial small subunit ribosomal RNA
Source: RNAcentral
GACGAACGCUGGCGGCGUGCUUAACACAUGCAAGUCGAACGGAAAGGCCCUGCUUUUGUGGGGUGCUCGAGUGGCGAACGGGUGAGUAACACGUGAGUAACCUGCCCUUGACUUUGGGAUAACUUCAGGAAACUGGGGCUAAUACCGGAUAGGAGCUCCUGCUGCAUGGUGGGGGUUGGAAAGUUUCGGCGGUUGGGGAUGGACUCGCGGCUUAUCAGCUUGUUGGUGGGGUAGUGGCUUACCAAGGCUUUGACGGGUAGCCGGCCUGAGAGGGUGACCGGCCACAUUGGGACUGAGCUACGGCCCAGCCUCCUACGGGAGGCAGCAGUGGGGAAUUUUGCACAAUGGGCGGAAGCCUGAUGCAGCAACGCCGCGUGCGGGAUGACGGCCUUCGGGUUUUAAACCGCUUUCGCCUGUGACGAAGCGUGAGUGACGGUAAUGGGUAAAGAAGCACCGGCUAACUACGUG